RNAcentral lists this transfer RNA (85 nucleotides) under bacterium. Its description in RNAcentral is "tRNA-Leu". It matches the Rfam family "tRNA". From Rfam's summary of the family: Transfer RNA (tRNA) molecules are approximately 80 nucleotides in length. Their secondary structure includes four short double-helical elements and three loops (D, anti-codon, and T loops). RNAcentral also lists the same sequence under 1 other name. The record is from RNAcentral.
GCCCGGGUGGUGGAAUUGGCAGACACGUACGUUUGAGGGGCGUAUGGGGCAACCCAUGCGGGUUCGACUCCCGCCCCGGGCACCA